AUCAGUGAAACUCGAAUUGGUCAUCACCGUGUGAUCCUUCUUUUGAGGCCUCGCUGAAUUGAAACCAAUGCUCAGUUAGGAAUUUGAACAGCUUCGUGUGAUGACUUCGAUUAGCAUAUGAAUGAGAAAAUUCAAGCUCUCCUCACACCUGAGGAACCUGUUGCUGUUUACAGUAUAAAAUUGUAUGAUAUCAUUGAAUGUUAUAGGACAAUUCAACCAUCUGGAAGAUCAGUUCUUGUUGAUGCAUGCUUUGACACAAAGUUCAUAUUAAGUAUCAAAUGUUAGUGGCAGUGCGUUUAUCGAUUUGAUUCAACUUUUUGUUGUUAUAAGGCCUAGAGUUUACCUGAAGGUUUGACAUCACAAAACCUUCUCCAGUUACCUACAAGUGGCCAAAGUUACAGAUUUCUCUAAACUUGAAUUGAUUCCUUUUAAGCAACUGAUAAAUUGAAAUGUUCAAGAAAAUUUAAAACAUAAUGCUAGUUCAUGUCUUUUUGGCAACUAAUAAAUUAAAUGUUAAAAGAAAAUGUUAAAAUAUAAUACUUGUUAAUAUCUUUUUGUUUUACAAGUUUAACCACACGUAUCUCGUGCAUGUAACAUUUGAUUAUUUAAAAUUAAAUAAUUUUAUCUAUUACAGAGAUUUUUAGUGCAAUUUCACAUUUCAAUAUAAUUAUAUAAACAUAAACCUAUAUUUAGUUUAAACACAUAUUUUAUCAUUAGAAGUUUUAAGUGGUUGAUCGAUGUCACUUUUACAUUGCCAUGCAGUACUCUUUCCGUUGUUGCCAAAGACUAAGAGAGACAUCAAUUUGAAUCAUAUUUGUGCCAUGAUUAUUUUUUUCUAUAUUUAAAAUCUUUCUUUGUUUUUAAAGUCAAAUUUUUACAAAAUCAUUGAUUACGUUUUUAUUACGUACUUAAAACUUUUAAAAUUUGAUACUUCUUAAAUUUUUCUUAUUCUAAUAUUUUUAUAUUUAUUUUUAGAUUUUUCAAAUUUUCUUAAAAUCAAAUGUAGUUGAUUUAGAAUUCUUAAAUUAAUGAAAAAAUAUUAGUUGUCAUUAAUUCUGAUGAAUUCUAAUAAGAAAAAAUUUUGUCAUAAAUAAAGUUAAUUAAUUUUUAAUACUUAAAUAUUAGAAAAAAACACUACUUUUAAUAAAGAAAUAUUUUAGCAUAAAUAUAUUUAAAUAAAUUUCAACUCUUAAAUAUCCAGAAAAAAGUAAUAAAAAGAUGAUUUUGUCUAAAACAAAUACUUUUAAUAAAAGACAAAAUUAUAGAUUAUAGAUAUACUUUUAAUAUAUUAUACAUUAUAGAUAUAGAUAUAAAUUAUAGAUAUAGAUUAUAGAUUAUAUUGUUUUAUUUGGAAGAAUUGCAUCAGGAAUGUUGUAGGCACGUAAAAAAAUACAUAUGAUGUUACAUAUCAAAAAGACAAAAACCACGAAUGUUGAUCACUACAAAAAACAUGGAGUAAAAUUCUCAUUUCUCAAUGUUCCACAAAUCCCUAGAACAAUCAUAUCCUUCUACACUGGCACACUCCAAUACAUUUCCUUUACAUCAGCACCAAUGGUGGCGAUCUAAUUCAGGGUGGAUCUGUUAAGAGCGGUGAGUGUGCCACGCUACCCGCAAACUUUGACGGAAGUUUUUACUAUAUACGGAUAUAAUCAAAUAAUUAACAUGCUAUUCACAAAACUGAAGAAUUGUUUAUUCAGAGUGGUAGAGCAUCACAUUUACUGCCCCUAGGGUGCAUGUUCGACCUUUGGCAACCUUAUUUUUUUCCUUUAUUUGUAGGCUGAAGUGAAGCCACAAAUGACUACUCAGUUGGCAACCCGUUUUUCUUAUAUAUGUAUUAAUAGUAAUUAUAUUAAUUUUUUUUUUAUUUUCCAAAUAUUAAUCGUUAAUAUUGAUAUUAAAAAGUGCUUAAUUUUAUUGACUCUCCUCAAAUUAAAAAAAAUCCUAUUCUAGCGGCGGGCAUGGUAUGAUAUAUAUUGAAUACCAUAUCAAAAUUAAAAUUUUUUAUACCGCAAUAUGGAUGUUAUGGUAUUUGGUAGAACUUUUAAAUUAUUUUGAUAUUUGGUAUGGUAUUUGGUAUUUAUACAAUAAAUAUCGAAAUACCGUUUACUGCAUCAAAGUUUUUUAAUGAUAUAUAAAACUCAUAUAUAUAAUAUUUAAGAUUAUUAAAUAUAUUUAUAUAUCAUCCAUUAGCCAAUCGAACAUAAAAGUAACUUUUAUUCAGAAAUAAAUUUUUUGGAAAGCUUAUUAGUUAGUAGUACUAUGCUGAAGCUUAGGUAAUGUUGUUCAGAGUUUGCAUCUUAGACUACUCAAUCGUGAUUAAAAUGUUCUUUUAGUGUAAUUGAUUAACAAUGAAAGUUUUUAGUUUGAUAUGAUUGAGACAUUUUUAAAGUUUAAAGUUAUAAUUUUUUCAUAUGCAUGUAUGUAAAGUCGAAAUCAAAUAAAGUAUGGUUACCGAAUUAAAUGGUUAGCUUUUAGCUUUAUAUUCAGUUACAUUUACAUGUCGGUACAAUAUCUGUACUCUUGACAUGUGAAAGUUCUCAUCAAGAUGUCAAUCUCUGAACAAUUUUUCAAUUUUAACUAUUCCUUUGUUACUUCAUAUUUGGCAGAUUUGAUCUAGGAUUUCCUUUGAAAAUCCUUUCUGAUUCAUUCUUUGACAAGAAUCUCAUACAUCAGAUUUUUGUAAUCAUCUUUUAAUGUUCAUAAAAGAUUGACUUAGUUUUAGUGAAUUUAUGCCGAUUUUGAUUCAUUCUCUUGGCAAUGCCUUUUAUGCCCUAGAACUAUAGUGGUCCACGUUGAAACGUAUCCAUGUACUUGGUUUGACCAUCAAUCUUAAACCUACCUCUCUCAAUCUCUCAAAUUCUAACACUAGCCGCUCGAAUAACCAUGCUAUUAGCACCUCUACUUUCCUGCUCAAAGCACUUUAUACAGCACCACCAACUAUUUAUGAUUUAGAUAAGAAAAUAAUGACUGAAGAACCAGAUUCAUGCUUCUUGGCACUUUUUGUCAUUGGCAGGUCCUCCGGCACCUUGGUCGUAUCAGUGAAACUCGAAUUGGUCAUCACCGUGUGAUCCUUCUUUUGAGGCCUCGCUGAAUUGAAACCAAUGCUCAGUUAGGAAUUUGAACAGCUUCGUGUGAUGACUUCGAUUAGCAUAUGAAUGAGAAAAUUCAAGCUCUCCUCACACCUGAGGAACCUGUUGCUGUUUACAGUAUAAAAUUGUAUGAUAUCAUUGAAUGUUAUAGGACAAUUCAACCAUCUGGAAGAUCAGUUCUUGUUGAUGCAUGCUUUGACACAAAGUUCAUAUUAAGUAUCAAAUGUUAGUGGCAGUGCGUUUAUCGAUUUGAUUCAACUUUUUGUUGUUAUAAGGCCUAGAGUUUACCUGAAGGUUUGACAUCACAAAACCUUCUCCAGUUACCUACAAGUGGCCAAAGUUACAGAUUUCUCUAAACUUGAAUUGAUUCCUUUUAAGCAACUGAUAAAUUGAAAUGUUCAAGAAAAUUUAAAACAUAAUGCUAGUUCAUGUCUUUUUGGCAACUAAUAAAUUAAAUGUUAAAAGAAAAUGUUAAAAUAUAAUACUUGUUAAUAUCUUUUUGUUUUACAAGUUUAACCACACGUAUCUCGUGCAUGUAACAUUUGAUUAUUUAAAAUUAAAUAAUUUUAUCUAUUACAGAGAUUUUUAG
RNAcentral lists this long non-coding RNA (3678 nucleotides) under Capsicum annuum. RNAcentral describes it as "long non-coding RNA (CANN_LNC008021)". The record is from RNAcentral. Lineage: Eukaryota; Viridiplantae; Streptophyta; Magnoliopsida; Solanales; Solanaceae.